GAUGAGCGCUGGCGGCGUGCCUAAUACAUGCAAGUUGAGCGAAUGGAUUAAGAGCUUGCUCUUAUGAAGUUAGCGGCGGACGGGUGAGUAACACGUGGGUAACCUGCCCAUAAGACUGGGAUAACUCCGGGAAACCGGGGCUAAUACCGGAUAACAUUUUGAACCGCAUGGUUCGAAAUUGAAAGGCGGCUUCGGCUGUCACUUAUGGAUGGACCCGCGUCGCAUUAGCUAGUUGGUGAGGUAACGGCUCACCAAGGCAACGAUGCGUAGCCGACCUGAGAGGGUGAUCGGCCACACUGGGACUGAGACACGGCCCAGACUCCUAUGGGAGGCAGCAGUAGGGAAUCUUCCGCAAUGGACGAAAGUCUGACGGAGCAACGCCGCGUGAGUGAUGAAGGCUUUCGGGUCGUAAAACUCUGUUGUUAGGGAAGAACAAGUGCUAGUUGAAUAAGCUGGCACCUUGACGGUACCUAACCAGAAAGCCACGGCUAACUACGUGCCAGCCGCCGCUGUAA
RNAcentral lists this ribosomal RNA (515 nucleotides) under uncultured bacterium. RNAcentral describes it as "partial 16S ribosomal RNA". It matches the Rfam family "Bacterial small subunit ribosomal RNA", at positions 28 to 523 of the family's 1533-position model. The record is from RNAcentral.